CGUGAAAACUGAAACCAAAGGAAUUAUAUAGGCCUGCUUUGUGUGUGUUUUCCCACUUUAAGCUUGUUUUCAGUACACAUACUCUUGCUUUAAACCUGAUUGGAUUGUGGCGAGCAGACAUCUGUUCAAAGGAGGGGUAGCGACCACCACAGUACUUUUGAAGGGGGCUUGGUAAUGUGGAAAUAUUUUAAGUGCUCUCUCCGAACACUGAUUUGCUGUCUCGGUUCAGGCAAGUUACUUUCUGAAGUACAAUUUUUAUCUGGAAAAUGUUUUGAUGUAGUCAGUAAAUGAUCCUUGUAAAGUAAUUUUCCAUUCCAGAAUUAAAGAUGCAUUAUAAUUUAUUAUGCAGAUGUUAGUGGUCAAAAAUUACUUUUGCAGAUAGUUAUUUCACGUAGAGACCCACCCAGCUUGAUUUAAAUUUCUUCGCACUGACCUAUAACCAUCAGCCUUGACACUUCCACUUUCAGGUUCAGACUCUGAAUUUAAGGAAAUUAAAAAUGGCUUUAUGCUUUUUUCUUAAUUUUUCUCUUUUUAAAUAUUUCCCCCCAAAUAACAGCAGAAACAAAAAUUCAUUACACGUUAAUACAAGUGACAUACUAGGUAAGAAUGACAUUGUUUUGCAUUUCUUCAAGUCUUUUAAAUGUCUGGUUUAAUAGAAGAUACUUAGAUUCUUAAGUCUACUGCAUUAAGUCUGUUGUGGUAUCACACCAUGUAACCUUUGGAAAACUCCCAAAACUCCAUUGUAUGUUCAUUUUUUUUUUAAUUUUUUUUAAUUUUUUUUUUUUUUUAAACUGAGAUUUGUCAUUUCCAUCCUCUCCCCAUACAAGUCAAAUAGGGUAAUACAAGACACAUUUAAAAAAUAUGGAUAGGAGCGUUGAUUUCUAUACUUUUUUCUUGCACUCUUUUUUCAGUUUGGGAUUUAGUUGCAUAAACAGUAUGAAAAGUAAGGAUUGUGUAAUCUGCAUAUGAUCCUGGAGUCUCAGGAACAUUUGCAAAUAUUUUAAGUGACUAAACUUAAUUUUUAUUUCCACAACUUAAUUAUGUAUGCAAGUAAAAUGUGAAUUUCAUAUUAGAUGUGCUUGUGAAAACUAGUGUGUAAAAGCAGUAUUUGAAGAUAGGACACUGUCAAAGCACUGCAGGAGCUCCAGAUUUAAAAGGAAUCCUGCAGUGAAACAUUUGGUCAAACAACACUUUAGUAACGCAUAUACAUACCUUUAGAGUUAACUCUCCUAACUUAGAGUUUGAGUUCUCUCUUUCAGUCAAUCUGGGUAUUUUAGGUUGGAGGCCAGUUAUACUGUAAAUGUGUGAAAAUGUUAAGGCCAUACUUUGGAUUAAUGGUUUUGAAAUGAAGCUAAAUUCAUUUCCAGUUGUUUCUGUGAACUCUACUUUGAUUCUCUCAGACUAGUUCUCUACUGUUCCAUCAACAGGAAGCAUCUGGUCAUUCUUGACAUAAUUGUUUGAAAAUGCCAGGUAUAUUUUUGAUGUUUGCUAUGUAAAUGAAAAUAAAUAUCAGAUUGGUUCUUGGUUAAUUUUACUUGUCUCCCUUUGACCCAGCAACUCUGAGAUUUAUUUAUGAUGGACCUCAUCUUUAGAAUGCCCCCCUCCUUUUUCCCCCUGUCUUGAGUACCUCCUAAGUUAGGAAUAGUAACAGGUAAAGCAAAUAAGUCAGGAAUUCAGAAGUCAUUACAUGAAAUUUUGAAUCAUGAAUUUAUUUUGAGGGUGUAUUUUUGAGGGUGCAAGUUCCCUUUGCAAGUAGCCUGAGUGUGGGUGAAUUCACUGAUGGGUCCAUCUCCUCCCUCUCUCAUAAACGUUAAAAAGCAAAGGGAAACAAAACCUUAAAAGAUGAGGGUGACUUAGUUUUCUAAUGACUAUCAUUUCUUUGGCCCCAGAGCUUUCCAACUAGUAAUCGUAGGUUUCUAUAGUAUGAUGUCUCUAUCUUGGUAUUACACUAUUUUGAAGGUGUUUGUUCCAUCAUGCUUCCUAGAAGGUCUGUCUACUAGUAUUAAGGACUGUGUUUCCCCACUGUGUGGACGACAGUGCUUUGCAUAGAGAAGAUGUGUUGGUGCAGUUGCCUGUCAGUUCAGUUGUUGGUGGGCUAGUAUAUUUUCAUUUAGGCUAAGUACGUCCAUGAGGUUAAGUGUAGAGGCUAAAGCGUGAAAUGAUUUCUCUACUGAAGGUAAAUCAUAUGUAGAGCCGUUGAUAUAUUUAGAAAUAGGAAUUUGAAACUCUUUGUCCUGGUUCUCUUACAUUUUAAUGGGAAUAGUUGGAAAGGCAGGCAGAUAGGGCCCAAGACGCUAAAGCACAAAUACAGAAUGUGCAAAAGACUCGAUCAUUUUAACUGUACAUUUAAUGUGAAUCAACGCUAUGGUAUAAUUUUUUAAAAAGUAAAUGUCAUUUUUGAAUUUGGUAGAACAACAUAGAACAGGUAUUGGGGCGCGUGGUGGCUCAGUCGGUUAAGCGUUUGACUUUUCAUCUCGGCUCAGGUCAUAACCUGAGGGUUGUGAGAUGGAGCCACCGGUCUGGCUCUGUGCUCAUCAUGGAGUUGGCUUGAGAUUCUCCUCCUCCCUCUGCCGCUCCUGCACCCUUGCUUGCGCUCUCUCUCUCUCUCUGGAAAGAAAGAGCAGGUAUUAGCCACACUUUACUUUGUACUUGUAUUAUACCUGGGAUACUUAUAGUGUGUCAGCUUUUUAGGUAGCAUACUGUCACAUUAUGAGUGGGCCCUUAGAUCAGUUCUCAGACUUUAUAUCAGAAUCACCUGCAGAGCAAAAACACGGAGCUUAAGUAGGAUAGGACCUGGGCUGCUGUAUUUUUCUCAAGUUCCCCAGGUGAUAGACACCUGUUUGGCUCAAAGAAGAGAAGGAAGCUCAUCUAAGGAAUGAUAGCUAUCUUUAAAUAUUUAGAGGUCUGUCACACAGAAAGAUCAGGUUUGAUCUGACUAGAAAGAACUAGGUAGGAUCAAUGAGUAGUAGUUAGAAGGAGGAUUUCAGCAUUCUUUCAAGAUAAAAUUUCUACAAAACCGUAAAAAUGUAAUGGGUUGUGUGGGUGGUAGGCGCUCUGCUUUCACUGAUAAUGUUCAAGUUAGGGAUUCUAGGGUGCAGAAGUUGAUAUGCUGAAUGAGGAAUUGGGCCAGGUGUCCUAAAGUUCCCUACAAACUUUUGAGACUUUAUGAUAUAUGUCUAGGUUUGCAGGUACAAAAGUAGAAGAGCAAAAGUCAUGAGUGAAACAAGCUGGUUAGCUUAACUGGAUCAUAGUUUUCACCUUCUUGGAUAAAGAGAAAUGAGUAUUAAGUGAGAGAGCUAUUUGAUGAGGGCUUUAAACCCAGCUAUAGGGGCACCUGGGUGGCUCAGUCGGUUAAAUGUCUGCCUUCGGCUCAGGUCAUGAUCCCGGAGUCCCAGGAUCGAGCCCCAUGUCGGGCUCCCUGCUGGGCAGGGAGUCUGCUUCUCUCUCUCUGCCCCUUUCCCGUCCCCCCUGCUCCUUCUCUCUCUCUCGCUCACUCUCUCAAAUAAAGAAAUAAAAUCUAAAAAAAAAAAAAAAUAAACCCAUCUGUAAUUUGGGAGACUCAAAGCCUUAAAAAUGGGCAUAUCUUCUGACAUGGAAACUCUCAUUUAAGGGAAUUUAUCUUGAUGUAAUAAGGAUGUGUGCAGAGAUUUAGCAGUGAGCAUCCUGAUUGCAGUGCUGUUGAUAGUAAAAGCUGUGUAUUAACAUUUGACCCCACUCCCACAUUAAUCAUAUGAAGUAGAUAAUAUUCUCCUCCAUUUUUCAGCAGAGAAAACAGGCGUAGGGAAAUGAGGUAGCUUGCCUAAGGUAGCAGAGUUAGUAUGUGGUAGAGCCAGGACUUGGAUCCAAGCUGUUUGACUCUAGAGUCAGUAACUCUUGAUCACUGUGCCGUACAUAACCUAAAUGUUUCACAGUGAUUGUUAGGAUAUGUAUUCACAGUGGGGUGAACCGUGCCUAGCUGUUAAAAUGAUGUUAGAAGAACGUGAAGACAUGAAGAGAUGUCUUGGUAUAUGUUAAGUAAAAAAAGUAGUUUUAAAAACACAAUUCCAUUUUGGUUAAAAAACAAAUAUACAGUUGAUCCUUGAACAAUAGGGCUUUGAACUGCACGGGUCCACUUAUACACAGGCUUUUUUUUUGACAAAUACAGUAUAGUACUGUAAAUGUAUUUUCUCUUAUGAUUUUCUCAACAUUUCCUGUAGCUUGCUUUACUGUAAGAAUACAGUGUAUAACACACAAAAUAUGUAUUAAUCCACUGUUUAUGUUAUUGGUAAAGCUUCUAGUUGGCAGUAGGCUAUUAAUAGUUAAAUUUCUGGGGAGAGAAAAGUUAUAGUCAAAAUUUUCAACUGUGUGUCUGGGAGUGUGUGGGGUGUCUGUACCCCUCAGCCCUGCAUUGUUCAAGGGAAAAUUGUAUUGACCUCUGGAAGGAUAUGUGCCAAAUUGUUAAGUGGUUAUUUCUGAGUGUAGUUUUAUAAGUGAUUAUUUUCUCUUUGCUUAUCCAAAUUUUCUGACUUCUGCAAUGAAUAUAUAUUUUUGUGUAUUAUUUGUAACUAAAAGCAUAUUAAAAUGUCAUAUUUCAAUAAGAAAUUAAAUAACAAACUGAGGAGCUUGGAUUUUAUACUGUGCAGUUUAUGCACUUUGACUUAGAAAUUGCACAUAAAUGAGAAUUUGUAAGCACAUGAAGUGUUUUGUAUUUUUUUAAGUUUGAUUCCUUACCAUUCUAGAAGUAAUAUGUUAAUUGCAUAGAGAACAGUCGUGGACUCCUACCAUUCUGUCAUAAUCAGUUCUCAAUUUUGUGUUUUCUUCCUCUUAUGUGUAAUAUUUUAAAUGUUGUAUUCAUCUCAGCUUGGUCACUCUCUGGCUUUCCGACAUUAGGCAAUUUACUUUAAUCUCUCUGCCUUAGUUUCCUCCUUUGUAAAAUUGGGAUAAUUAUAAUACCUAUGUUGCGGUGGUUGGGAGGAUUAGAUGAGUUACUGCAUAUAAAGUGAUCAGAACAGUGUCUGACACACAUUUAAUAGCUCAGCAAAUGUUAGCAAUUAUUAUUAUGGGAUCAUAGCCCACUAAAACCCUUGGGUCUAAUAGGUUUUGGAAUUAAGAAUUUUUUGGAUAUAGGCAAAGUAAUAAUGUAACCUUUCAACAGAGUCCAGUCCUCUUCAAACACAUUACUAUUUCUGCAGCAAAACCUAGGAAGGUUUACACCAAAUGGGGUAAAUAAAAGCUAUAAAUAGCUUUAUGUCAGGUAAGGUUUUGCCACCAAAAGAGUUUUUGUGUUUUGGAAUUGAAAUUAAGGAACUUGUAGAAUAUUUAUUUAGCUUUGAGUCCUAUUUUAUUUUAAUGUUUCAACACAUACCUUUUCAUGUUGUUAUAUAGCUUUAUGAUCCAUGAUAAUUUAAAAAUUAAAAAAAUAACAAUGUUCAGUUCUAUUUCCUUUUAUUAUAAAAUAUGCUAAACCUCUGCCAAUAUUGUUGAUUCUGUUACAUAGUGUAGAAUCUUUUCUAGAAGAGGCUUGAGAGUUCCUCUAACCCAGUUAGCUUUCUUUCUGUCUCAUUACACUUGAGGAAUAAGAUAUUUCUUGUUUUUUUCUAUUUUUAAGUUUUUAAUUCCAGUUAACAUACAGUGUGUUACAAUAGUUUUGGGUGUGCAGUAGUAAUUUAAUAGUUCCAUACAUCACCCUGUGCUCAUGAAAACAAAUGCACUCCUUAAUCUGUAUCACUAAUUUAACCCAUCCCCCCAUCCGCCUCUCCUCUGGUAACCAUCAGAUUGUUCUCUAUAAUUAAGAGUCUGGUUCUUGGUUUGUCUCUCUCGCUUUCCCUUCGCUUGCUUGUUUUGUUUCUUAAAUUCCACGUAUGAGUGAAAUCGUAUGGUAUUUGUCUUUCUCUGACUUAUUUCACUUAGUAUUACACUCUUUAGCUCCAUCCAUGUUAUUGCAAAUAGCAAGAUUUCAUUCUUUUUUUUAUGGCUGAGUAAUAUUCCAUUGUGCAUAUACACACACACACAUCUUCUUUAUCCAUUCAUCAAUCGAUGGACACAUGGACAUGGAUACUUCCAUAAUUUGGCUAUUGUAAAUAAUGCUGCAAUAAACAUAGGGGUGCAUAUAUCCUUUUGAAUUAGUGUUUUGUAUUCUUUGGGUAAAUAUGCAGUAGUACCAUUGCUGUAUGGUAACUUGGUUUACUACAGCAGUAAUUCUUUAUAGGAGGUGAGUAGAGGCUACUAUGGUACCUCUCUUUAACGUGCUCUCCCAUUCUGUAGAUGUGGGCACUGAGGUGGAUAUUUAUCCUAAGUCAUAGUAUUAAUUAUAGAACUGAACAUUGGAAUUAGGUCACUUCCUCUCAUGAUAAAAUUAUGGGCUGUGCAGCCCUUCUGAUUCCUGUACUCCUUUGUGUCUAUAGCACUUACCAUGUAUCCAAACAGAGGGAAAAAAUUUAAACAGUGCCUUAGUCCAAGCUGCUAUAAUAAAAAACUGGAGGCUUGGUAGCUUAUAAACAACAGAAACUGAUUUCUCACAAUUCUGAAGGCUAGGAGGUCCACGAUCAAGGUGCAAGCAUAGUUGGGGUCUGGUGAGGACCCUCUUCCAGUUGCAGACUUCUCUGUUGUAUCCUCACAUGGAGGAAGGGGCAUGGGAACUCUCUGGGGUUUCUUUUUAUAAGGGCAUAAAUCUUAAUGAUCCUUCCUCAUGACCUGAUCACCUCCCAAAUAUCCCACCUCCUAAUACCAUCACUUUGGCCAUUAGGAGUUCAACAUACAAAUUUGAGGGGUUGGGGAGAGACACAACAAGCAUUCGGACCAUAGCAAACAGUAUGUUGUUAAAAUGAACUGAAAAAUUUCCCUUACAUCCUAACUGGCUUAGAUGAACUCUUAUAUCUUUGCCCAUGUGAUUACUCCACCUGUGCCUUUAGCCAUUCCUUUCAUAUAGACUCAAUUUCUCUCCCUUCGUUUAUUGCUAUAUGCAUUAGAUGUAGCCUUGACGGAACUUUUGACACCCACCACUUCUUUCAUAUUUACCGUUGUCAAAUCUUUCCACCAUCUAUCUCCUGUUUUUUUUCACAGGUCACAGCAUAUUUAUGGAGGAAGGUGGGUAAUUUAGAAGAUUUCUUGGCCAUUAUGAAUUUAUGCUGAACAGUUCCCAGUGGGCCCUUGCUACUCUUGGCAAUUUUUUUAUUAAUCUCACAUUUUUCUGUUUUCUCAUGUAUCUUCUUCCUCUCUCUCAAAAGAUGCCAUUGAUUUCUACUUAAUUGAAAAAGCAAAUAGAGUACAAGCUUGCUUACAUUUUUUUUUUUUGUCACCACGACAAGUCUAUUCUUUCAUCUUAUUUUGUGAACUGAAUGGAAGGAAGAGGAUUCUUUUGCUUUUCUAGGAAUCUUGCUGCCACACUUACUUUUCCUCUCUGAUCACUCUGAUCGUUAUCUACAAUGGUUGGGUAAUAAUUGUCAUAUUUAAAUAGUAAAGUUUUUGUAAUACAUGUUUCUCUUUUAUUAUUUAUAUCCAUCAGCACAGUUCUUCAGAUUACUCUUUACUGGGUCUCAGUUUGUCCUGAGGCUCUGCAGUGCCUAUUUCCCAUCCUCACUUUGGAGUCUGUUCUUCCAAUCCAUCCUGCAUAUGGCUGCCAGAAUAAUUUUCCUAAAACUUUUUUGAACCCACUGCUUUUAAACCUGAACAGCCGGAGGAGAGAACAUGUGAUAUUGACCUUUGUGCUCUCCAUCAUGCCAAGCAAAGUGAAUUGAACUUGUACUGAAUAAAUGUUUGAGUGGAUCACCGUUUGCUCAAAACGUUGAAUGACUUCCAGUUGUCUGCAGAAUAAAGUCCAAACUCUGCUUUCUAACUUUCAAACCUUUUCAUAUUCUGCUUCUUCAACCUUACUUCAGUCUUGUUUCCUCCGUAAUAUACCAUGCUCAGGCACGACUCCCUGUCUUCUUCCUUUUCCUUUUCCUUGAUAGGCCUGUCACAGACUAUUCAGAAGUGUUUGCUUCGUGCCAGCACUGUCCUGAUCUCUGGGGAUACAGUAGACAGAGUCUCUGUUUUCUUGGGGCUGACAUUCAGGAUGAGGGGGGAGGAAAUGCACAGUAAAUAUCAGGUGGUAACGAGUGGCAUGAAAAGGAAUAAAACUGGAUAACGGGUUGGGAUGGUGGGAGGUGGUUGCUAUUUUAGGUGGUGAGGGAAAGAUCUUUUUGGGUGUCCCGGAAUGAGGGAGUAAACAAUGAAGUUAUAUAAGUGAAGAGCUUUCUGGGCCAAAGAAACGUGUUUUGAAGACCCUGAGGUGGAAGCAUUUUUGGCUUGUUCAAAUAAUUCCCAAGGCUUGUGUACCUCAAGCAGAAUGAAUAAGGGGGAGUAAUAGGUGAGAUUAGAGAGGUCGUGGGGAGCUAGAGUAUGCUCCAAAUAUUGUCUUUCAUUGAACAAGCCUUCCUUGACUACAUCAUUUUGUUGAUUUAAAGCUUCUCUGAACCCAUAUAGCAACAAUGGAAGUAGCUUUCAAGGUAUUUUUUUAUUGUGACCUACAGUAAGAAAUUAUUUUGCAUCAAUAACGUACAUACACAUUGUGUGUGUUUGUAUGUGCAUGUGUAUAACUGGAACAAAGUUUUCAUGAAACAAUAUACCUUUGAUAUAUGCCGAUAUUUUAAAAAAUGUUGACUGUAGCCUACUAAAUGAUUUCACAGUUAAAAACUUAAUACUUAAGGGCGCCUGGGUGGCUCAGUUGGUUAAGCGACUGCUUUCGGCUCAGGUCAUGAUCCUGGAGUCCGGGGAUCGAGUCCCGCAUCGGGCUCCCCGCUCAGCGGGGAGUCUGCUUCUCCCUCUGACUCUCUCUCUCUCAUUCUCUCUCACAAAUAAAUAAAUAAAUAAAUAAAAUCUUAAAAAAAAAAAAAAACUUAAUACUUAAAAAAAAAAAAACUACAGACUGCUUUUAUUAUAAUCCACAUAUUCUUCCAGGUUGUGAAAUAUCUUCAGUUAAAGAUCAUGAUUUCAAUUAUUUUGGUAUAGGUUUUUAAUGUUUACUGCUGAAUAGAGAGGACUUGUUUAAUUUGGCAAAUAGCUGUUGAAUUGGAUACUAGAAACUGCUGAAUACUAAAUACAUAAGAAUAAGAUAAACUCAGCCUGACUUCCUGAGGCUUAUAGGAGAGGAGAGCUUGUAAACAAUUCUGUAACAGAGUGGAAUCCACAUAUUAAUGAAAGUAGGUUCAGGCCACAAUGAGAAAAUAGAGAAAUCAUUAAUUCUUUUUGCUGAAAAGGUCAGCGGGAGCUUGUUGGAGGAGGUAAUGUCUGAACCGAGUUUUGGAGGAAGAAUGUGAGUAUGUGGUGAGGUAACUUGGGGUAAGGAGAAGACUUCUCAGGCAGAAUAACACAUAAAGGAAUGGUAUCACAAAACAGAAUAGUAUGUAGGGGUAAUUAUAGGUAACUGUGUAUUGUUGGAGCAUAAAUGCAAGUGGGAAGUGGUGAGUUGAUGAGGCUUGAGGGAGGCACGGGCCAGAUCCAAAAAGGUCUGAAAUGCAUUGUAGGAAGUUGCUACAUGGGAAGUAGAGAUACCAUCUCUCAAUAAGUCCAAUACAGCCAGUUUUUCCUCAAGUGAUGAAAUACAUUGCUGUUUCCUCAAUUGUGCCCUAGAGAAAGUUGGCUUACAUUUAUGGGCUCUGUUGUACCAAAAAAUGUUUUUUAAACAUUAAACUUUCACCUAUUGCAAUGUUAAGUUUACUCUAGAAGAAGCAUUUGAGAAUUGAGACGUACUGAGGAAAUGGGAGAUUCACAUUUCAGGGUAAUUCUGGGAUCUAUGUUUAUGAAAUAGAAUGGUAGGGGGCCAACUAAAUUAUUUUUCACUUCAAGUUAAAUAUACAUAUGGUUAAAUUCUGUAUUCUGUAGGUGACUGGAAUACAUGAUUGUAUGUUUUAGGAAGAUAUUUUGAUAAAAUAUCAAACCACAGUGUAAGACUUUAUGACAGUGUUCAAAAUAUAUAAAUUUCAAAUAGACUGGGAGGAAUAUUUGCAACACAUAUAACAAAUAAGAAAUAUGUAUGAUGUACUUCUACAAAGAAACAGUGGCAGAAAAACAAGUGAAGUAUACAAACAGGUAGUUUCAGGCAAGGAAACGUAAGUGGCCAACAAAUAUUUGAUAAGUUAUGCAAUCUCAUUAGUAAUUUGAGAGGUACAUAUUAAAGCAGAAAGUUAAUAGAGGCAAAAUUUUAAAAGCUUGCUAAUAUUAAAAUUGGCUAUAUUAUGAGGAAAUAAUAAACAUUAUAAACUGUUGUUGGGAGUAUAAAUUGUUUCGGGGGUGUAAAUUGACAUGGGCAGUUUGUUAGUAUCUAUUAAUUUGAAAUGGUAUUCCCAGCAAAUCUGCCCAUUUUCUGCACUAAAGGAACACUAGUGUAUGUACAUAAGGAGGCACGUACAACUCUGUUAAUUGCAGCAUUUAUGGUAGUAAAAAAACCUGGAAAAAUAAGUUAAACUGGUCACAAUACUAAAAUGACCAAGUAGAUUGGUAUAUCCAUACUAUGGAAUAACAUGUAAUAAUUCGAAGAAAUGAAUAUGACAUAUCUUGAGUACUUAGAGCAGUAUGUACAGUAUGAUACUAUUUAUAUACAUAAGGGAAAAAACCCAGAACAGUGCUGUGUUUUGGAGGGGCAGGUACACAAACAUGCAUGCAAAUGCAAAGAAUAUGGUCUGGUAGGGUAAUCCUGAACUGAUAAUAGUGCUCAUUUCUUGGGUGGUGGAUAGAGAAUUGGGUUUUGGGAGCAGAGAUAGGGAUGAUUAGAGGGAACUGGCUUUUUCAGUAAUCUUUGGAAUUUUAAAAUUAGAAUAUAGUGUAUAUUUACAAAUUCAUUAAAAUAAUAAUGACCAGUUGACAAUAGGAUGGACAAUAGUUGGGGAAGGAAGGAAGCCAGGUAAGGAGGUACUUCAUUAAUAUAGGCAUGAAAAUGCAGUGGCAAAGGCGGUGAGAAGAGGACUAAUUUAUAAAUGGCAUGAGGGUAGUUUCACAAUAUAUAUCAAAAUUAGAAUUGUAUUUACUUUUGUCUCAGCAGUCCUUCAGGGAAUUUAUCCUACAGUUAUAUGAAACAAAAUGAUACAUUUACACAGUUAUUAGUUGCAGUGUUGUAUACAAUAGUGAUAGUGUCCAUCCAUAAUAAACUAAGACCUAUCUACACAGUAGCAUACUAAGCAGCUAUACAGAAAAUUAGGAAGCUGUCUAUGAACUAAUAGGAAAGAUCUCCAGGAUGUGUUAAGAAAAGCAAAUGGAGAACAGUGUAUGUAGUAAUGCUAUCUUUUGGUAAUAAUAGAAAUAGUGGAAGGUUACCCAUGAAACUAGCAAAGGUGAUUACUUGUGUCUGGGGGGAGUGGUAAUAGUGUAAAUGCUUCCACUGAGACUUUUCCGUGUAUGCAUUUCUGGGUUUGGAUUUUUGAGCUAUACAAAACUAUUGCCUAUUGAGAAAAAAGAAUGUAAGAUAAAAAGAGAUGCGAAGUAGACCUUACAGUAUUUGAUGACCAACUGUAUGUAAAGACAGGGAGAGGACAAAGUUAAGGAUAGCUCUCAGGUUUCUAAUUUGGGAGGUAAGAAGGGUGGUAGCAACAUCAGGGAGGAUAGGAGGAAGAUUAAGUUUUGGUAGGUGCAUGGGAAGUUCUGGACGUGCUAAUUGAUGAAUCCUUAGCCCUGUUUAGUGUUUUUGUGUGUGUAGGUAUAUGGGUGUGUAAUUUAUGUGCUUUAGAUAUGGAACUUGAGCUUAUUUUAUUAAUUAAUUAAUUUAUUUAUAAAGAUUUUGAGAGAGUUGGGGCGCCUGGGUGGCUCAGUCAUUAAGCGUCUGCCUUCGGCUCAGGUUAUGAUCCCAGGGUCCUGGGAUCGAGCCCUGCAUCGGGCUCCCUGCUCUGCAGGAAACCUGCUUCUCCCUCUUCUACUCCCCCUGCUUGUGUUCCCUCUCUUGCUGUGUCUCUCUCUGUCAAAUAAAUAAAUAAAAUCUUAAAAAAAAAAAAAAGAUUUUGAGAGAGAGCAUGAGUGAGGUGUAGGGGCAGAGGGAAAGGGAGAAGCAGACUCCCCCCUGAGCAGGGAGCCCAACAUGGGGCUCAAUCUCAGGCGCAUGGCACCCUGGAACUUGAGAUUAUUUUAAACAUGACUGUUAAAUAGUCAUCAAUAGGGGUGCCUGGAUGACUCAGUUGGUUAAGUGUCUGCCUUCUGCUUGGGUCAUGAUCCUAGGGUCCUGGGAUCGAGCCCCACGUUGGGCUCCCUGCUCAGUGGGGAGUCUGCUUCUCUGUCUCCCUCUGCCCCUCCUCCCCAUGUGCGUGGUCUCCCUCUCUCUCUCAAAUAAAAAAUAUAAAAUAGUCAUCAAUAAAUAUUUUUUAUUGAUCACAGCCAUUUAUAGUCUAGGUUUUAUGGAGAACAGCUUUGUAAUGAUGUCAUAAUUUUACAGUUAAAUAGGGACAUUGGUAUACACAGAAUGUACAUAGAGAAAUAAAGAGUGUAUAUCUGAUAAAUACAUAGCUUAUGUGGGGAUCAGGAACUUAAUUUAUUAGCAUGGUUCCAAUUUAAUUACAUCUUUUGGUAACUGAAAUUCAAAGAAAUAAAAAUAGCUUUGUAUAAGGAUGUGAUCUUUAGAGUAGCUGAGAUUAUAUUGUAAUAUUUAAAACAAUAUUAAAACUGGCUUAGAGAAGUUUAUAGUAGAGCAUGAAAAUUAUUUUUUCAUAUAUACUUGUCACUGUAUAUUAUACAAGAUAAGGACGUUUAACCUAAUGGAGGAGUCCCAGCAUUCUGGGUGCUGCCUAAAACAAGCUCUUGCUAUAUAGUUUGGGAUUUAAAAUUUAUUUGAAUGAGUUUUAUUUCAGAAUCUGAUUUUGAGGCCUUAAUGUAUCCAUACAACUUUUACCUGAUUUUUAUUUGGUCUAGAGUAAAAAAAAAAAAAAAAAAAAGGAGGGGAGCACAGAUAAAGCACAUACAUGCCAGGACUUGCAGGUGAAUUUAGUAAAUCUUUUCUAGGUUUAUGUUAAUAAGGAUUUGGGUGUGGAAUAGCAAUAAAAUAAAGCUGUUAAGUAAUUCUUGCUGGAGAUUUAAAAUUUUAACCAUUUCAUAUCUGAAGAAAAGACAUUUUGCUGGCAGUAGCUUUCUUUUAAAAAUUAUAAUAAUGUUAUAUAUAUAAUCCUGUAACAGUUGGAGAUGGUCUUGCUUUAGUGAGGGUGAAACUGUUUUGUCACCUCUAACCUAUGCUUACCCAUUUACCCACUGUCUUUCUCAGUACUACAGUCCUCCGGUGCUUUGGGAAACAUAAUUUGAGAAAUGCUGGUUUGGGGUGGGCUAUAGUUUGGGCUUAGAUAGAUUUUUACCUCUUGUGUAUCUUUGUUGUGUCCAGUUGAGUGAAAGGAUGGUAUAUAAAUUAACUUUAAGAAGCGUUAGUGGUUCUCAGUCAGGGAUAUUUUACCCCUAGGGGACAUUCAGCAAUAUCUAGAGACAUUUUUUUUUGAUGUCAAAAAAUGGGGGACAGGAUGGUGCCACUGGCAUCUAAUGGGUGGAGACCAGGGAUGCUGCCAAUAUCCUACAAUGCAUAGAAAAAUCUCCUAUAACAAAGAAUUGUCAGGCCCGAUAUGGCAGUAGUACUGAAGUAGAGAAAUCUUUAGUUUGCUGAAUACCAACUAUGUGUGCAACACUGUUAUAAAGUACUUAUGGGUGUGAAUGGCACUAAAAGAAAACCUUGUCCAUACCUAUAAGAAACUUAUAAUCUAGCUAAGGCAUCUCAAACUUAUGUCUGUGAGUAAACUCUUUACACCUGACCUACCAUAUCCCACUUUGCCAUCUUAAUUUUGGCACUUUUCACCAAGUUAUUCAGGCCAAAAACCUGGAUGUCAUUUCUGACUCCUCUUUUUCUUGUACCCUGAUAUCUAAUACAUGAGGAAGUUCUGUUAGCUCAACUUCAAAAUAGAUGUUACAUCUGGGUAAUGGUGGGCUAGAGUAUUUAGACCAGUCUCUUUUUGAAAAGAAUUGCAAAUUCUGGAUAAGAUCUAUAAACACCACCUUAAGAGUUUUGAAGAACUGGAAAGAUAAGGGAAUCUGGUAAGCCAAAUUCUGGAAGAAAGCCUAAACCAAGAGAGGUUAGCAGAAUAUCUGGAGAACUGAAGCCACUGUUGGCCUGAGUAUGUUUGCAGAUUUUAAGAAAUUUAGGUUUCUUUUCAUUACACUUGUGGGGAAAGGUGGACAGAAACCAAGAUUCAAAGUCUACCCAACAUGUGGACAUGUGUCUAUACCUGUGGGAGAAGGAUAAAUCAGAGCUAAUCCCUGUUCCCCUUUCAUUGCUUACUUUCCAGCCAAAUAUCAAGGGACUUCAAGGCAAGUGGUCUUGGCACUGAGCAGAGCAGGAAAAAAAAAGAGAAAAGAAAUAAGUCUCUAUAAAGUUAUGGCCAUAGCCUAGCAAGGUAAGGGAAAUUUAAACCAUGACUUAAUUUAGGGCAGUCCCUGAUUUGUCGUGUCCCCUAGGUGCUUGGCAGAAGCAAAUGAAAAUGUUCCCUGGAAGAACACUUCUUCAUUUUAGACAUCUCUACAAAUAAUUUUUUUAAGGACACUGACCAGCACAUAGUCAAAGAUAAGCUGGCAUACAAGGAGACAAAGGAAACAUGAACAGAAACAACAGCAGAAACAGAUAUUCAUAGGCAUCAUAUAUUAGAAUUAAAAGAUACAUGAUAAAACAACCAUGCUUACUGUAUUCACAGAAAUAAAUGGCAAAUUCGGAAGACAGGAAACAUGAAACUACAAAAUAAAAAAGUGGCAUCAUAGAUUUGAAAAUACCAAACCCAACUGCUGGAAAUAAAAAAAUAUGAUAACUGGAUUAAAAACGUAACGAUGCAAUUUACAGCAGAUUGCACAUCAGAAGAAUUAUUGAACUGGAAUAUAGAUCAGACAGAAUUAUCCAGGAUGUAAUUUAGAGGGAAAAAGAUAGAAAAUAUAAGUGACAGUGUAAGAGAUAUGGAGGAUAGAGUAAGAAUGUCUUAAUUGGAAUUCCAGAAGAAGAGGAGAGAGAGAAAAGGGGCAUUUAAAGACAUGAUGGCUGAUAUUUUCCAGAACCAACAAAAGAUAUCAAACCAGGAUACAAGAAUUCUGUAUCCAUAAAUCCAUACCUAGACACAUCAUGAAGAAUAUGCAAAAAACAGUGACAUAGAGAAAAAUCUUAGAAGUAUCUGGAGAAAAAGAAGAUAACCACCAAAGGAGUGAGAAUUAGACAAACGUAGUGACUUUUCAGUAGGAGCAAUGGAAGUCAAAAGAUAGUAAAAAUGAUGCCUGCAAUAUAAAAUGAAAAAAACCUUGCCAACCUAGAAUUUUAUAUCCAGUGAAAAUAUCUUUUAAAAAUGAUGGUGAAAUAAAGAUAUUUUGGAGAAAAACAGUUGUCACCAGCAUCUCACUCGUUAAAGAUAAUUUAAACCAACACUGUUCAGUAGAAGUUUCUGUGAUGAUGGAAGUUCCUUUAUCUGUGCUGUCCAGUAUUGUAGUCAUAAGCCACAUAGGGCUGUUGAGCAGUUGAAAUGUGGCUAGUGUGAUUGAGAUACUGAAGUUUUAAUUAAAUUUAAAUAACCACAUGCACCGUAUUAGUGCAGUUCUGUAGGAUAUACUUUGGGAAGAAUGAAAUUGAUUACCACAUGGAAGGAAAGAAAUGUAUGAAGGGCUGAAAAGUAAAGAAAGUAAUACAUAUUUGGAAAAUGAAAGUGAAUCUUGACUGCAUAUAAUAGUAAGACUCUCUAAUGGAUUAAAAGACAAGGCAAUAGCAGAAGAGGAAUAAGUGGGGGUCUAGGUUUUAAGGUCUUUGUAUUGUCUAGAAGGAGGGUAAGUUUAAAAAAAUCCUUUGUAGGGCGCCUGGGUGGCUCAGUCAUUGGACGUCUGCCUUCGGCUCAGGUCAUGAUCUCAGGGUCCUGGGAUCGAGCCCCACAUUGGGCUCCUUGCUCGGUGGGAAGCCUGCUUCUCCUUUUCCCACUCCCCCUGCUUGUGUUCCCUCUCUCGCUGUCUCUCUCUCUGUCAAAUAAAUAAAAUCUUUAAAAAAAAUUAAAUAAAAAAACCCUUUGUAUGGAAAACUUUAAAUAUGUAAAAGCAAAGAAGAGUGUAAUGAACUCCCCUGUAUUCAUUACCCGGUUUCAACAAUGAUCAACUCAAGACUACAGUGGUUUCUUACAUAUUCCUCAUUAUUUUAAAACAGAUCUCAAGUAUCAAUUAUUUAAUCCAUAAAUAUAUUGUUUUUAUCUCUAAAAAUAUAUAAACUUAAACUAUAAUAUAAUUAUUAUAUCCAGAAAAAAAUAAACAUAAUUCCUUAAUAUCACUACAUAUUUAGGCAGCAUUCACUUUCCUUAAUUAUCUGCAAAAUGACUUUUUUUUUUUAAAUAAAUACAACAUUCACCUUUAUUGAAAUGUCUUAUGGAACCAAAAAAGGGAAGUACUGAACAUCUAACAGCUGGGAACUUUCUCAAGUAUUUCCUUAACUAUCCAAAAUGGUUUUUUUUUUAUUAUGUUAAUCACCAUGUAUUACAUCAUUAGUUUUUGAUGUCAAAAUUUUUUUUUUAACAUUUAUUAUUUUUUUUAAGGCAGUUUUAGGUUCACAGCAAACUUGAGGGGAAAGCACAGAGAUUUCCCAUACACCACCUGCCCCCAUACAUGCAUAACCUCUCCCAUGAUGCUUUUCUUUGGAAUUCUCUCUCCUCUUCUUCUGGAAUUCCAAUUAAGACAUUCUUACUCAUAUCCUCCACCAGAGUGGUACAUUUGUUACAAUUGAUGAACCUACACUGGCACAUUGUAAUCACCCAAAGUCUGUAGUUUACAGUAUGAUUCAUUAUUGGUGUACAUUCUCUGAGUUUGGGCAAAUACAUGAUGACAUGUGUCCAUCAUUAUGGUAUCAUACCAAAUAUUUUCACUGCCCUAAAGAAAGUUUUUAAAAAAUUUACAUUUAGUUUCUUCAAAUUGGAAUCCAAACAGGGUCCACACAUUGUCAUUGGUUGAUGCCUGCUUAGUCUUUUAAAACAAGAUUUUCAUUAACUUUGGACUUUAAUGCAUGGUGUAAUUUCUAGGGAACAUCUACAAGAACAAAAAUAGAGAAUAUAACUUCCAAAUCAGUAAAAGAAAUAGAUAAAAUGUUAAAAAAAGAAUCAGUCCAAAAGAAGGCAAGAGAGAAAAGAACCUGAACAGGUAAGGAAUAGAGAGCACAAAAUUAGAUGCUAGAUUUAAGCUUAGAUAUAUAAUAAUUAAAGAUAAAAAGUCUAAAUGAUUACAUAGGUAUCAUCCUAGCCUAAGGCACUAUCAGCUCUUGCCUGGAAUAAUUUCCCAACUAGUAUUCCUGCCUCAAUUCUUGCUUUCCUCUAUGGACUACCUAUAUAAAACAGGAGUAGUUUUUAAAAAAUAUAAAUCAGAUCUUUCUACCAUCUUGCCAUAAUGGUGCACAUGAAUGUCUUGGCAGAUUCUCUCAAGAGCAUUAACAAUGCCAAAAAGAGAGGCAAACACCAGGUUCUUAUUAGGCCAUGCCCCCAAGUCAUGUCCGGUUUCUAACUGUGAUGAUGAAGCAUGGUUACAUGGGCGAAUUUGAAAUCAUUGGUGAUGACAGAGCUGGGAAAAUUGUUGUGAGCCUCAUGGGUGGGUUAAACAAGUGUGGAGUGAUCAGCCCCAGAUUUGAUGUGCAACUCAAAGAUCUAGAAAAAUGACAGAAUAAUCUGCUCCUAUCCUGCCAGUGUGGUUUCAUUGUACUAAGCUGGCAUCAUGGACCACAAAGAAGCAAGACAAAAACAUGCAGGUCGGAAAAUCCUGGGAUUCUUUUUCUAGGGAUGUAAUACGUAUGUGCAAAUAAAAUGCCUCAAUGGACAAAAUAUACAUACACACACACACACACAUACAUAUAUAACAUAUAAAUCAUAUCACAACACUCUCCUGUUUAAAAUGUUCCAGCAACUUCCUAGUAAGUGAAAUCCAUACUUCUUACUAGUGCCAAAAGCCCUAUGUAAUGUGAUUGCAUAUCCUGCUCUCCUUUUUCCGUAUAGCCCAGGGCCUUAUACUUGCUCUUCCAUCUCCCUGGAUCACCAGGAACAGUCAGAAUUCUUAGUUCUUAAAAAAAAAAGAGGGGGGGUGCUUAAUUCUAAAAACUGGGAACCACGUCUGGUUAAUUUAGCAGAAAAGGAAUUGUCACAGAAGAAACCACUACCACUACUGUCAUUGGAAUCUGCUUCCACUCUUGCCAUAAUGGAUUCUGUGUACUUCCUGCUUUUUUAUGCAGUAUCUUCUAAGUUAAAGUCCAUCAUGGAUGCUUUGUUGGAAGGAGGUCAUAAGACUGUACCCUAGCUGCAUGGGAGGCUGGGAAAGCAAAUACUUAGCUUCAUUAGUAGGUGGAGGUUCUGGUUUCUUUCAGGACUCAUCAGAGGGGAAUUCCUUGGGCAUAUGAAGAUGUUCUGAUGCUGAGCAGCCAAAAGAGUGACCUGUCCUUCAUGAUGCUUUUCUUUGGAAUCCUACCUUGCUCUCCUUUCUCUCUUAAUUCACGUUUCUACUCAAAUGUCUCUCCUCAAAGAGGCCUUUCCCUAGACUUUGUCUAAAAUGGCAAUUCCCCAUCUCUAAUCCAGUAUUCUCUUUUAUUAACCUGCCUUACAUUUUCUUCAUAGCAUUUAUCCUUACCAGUACUACUAUUAUUGAUUGAUUGAUUGAUUGAUUGAUUGCUAUGCUCCCCCCAAGAACACAAGCUCUGUGAGGGUAGGGACUUCUUUUUGUUCACUUUCUGUUGGCACAUAUAUGCUCAGUAAACAUUUGUUUAAUGAAUGAAGGGGAAACAUAGAUUAUGGUAUAAAUCCCUGAGAAAAUUUAAAGGGAAGCAUUAUAGAGGAAUUAGCUCAUUUAAGGAAGGCUUAUUGGAGAAGAGUAAUUUUUGAAAUGGGCUUUGAUUAAAGUAUCAGAUUUGGAGAGAAGAUAUGUAGCCAUCUAAACUGGGCAAAUAGUACGAGGGAGGAAGGUAUUGGGUCUGGAAUAAGGUGAGCACAUAUCGAAUAAGGAAGAAUUGUUUAAAAUCUGAUGGCUGGGGCGCCUGGGUGGCUCAGUCGUUAAGUGUCUGCCUUUGGCUCAGUUCAUGAUCCCAGGGUCCUGGGAUCGAGCCCCGCAUUGGGCUCCCUGCUCGGCGGGAAGCCUGCUUCUCCCUCUCUGACUCCCCCUGCUUGUGUUCCCUCUCUUGCUGUGUCUCUCUCUGUCAAAUGGAUAAAUAAAAUCUUAAAAAAAUAAUAAUAAAAUAAAAUCUGAUGGCUGUUGGGUCCUUUAUGAAGUGGGAGUUGAGAAAAAUGGAUGAGGUGAAGGUGCAAGGUUGGAGCAGUUGAUAGAGGGCCUUGAACUGUAAGGUGGUCUUUGACUUGAUUGCUAGAGAGUAAAAGAUUACUAGUGUUGUGUUUUUUUUUUUUUAAUUAAAAAUAGGCUGGUAUUUUCUCAUAGUACUCUACAGGUAUAAAACAGAAUGAGGUAAAUCUCUAUGGAGAAUUUUCCAGGAUAUAUAUUAAAUGGAAAAAAAAAGUACAGAACAGUGUAUGUAGUAUGCUCUUUUGGUGUAAGAAGUGUGUGCAUGGGAGUAAGAAUACACACACCAAUUUGUUUCUGUUGCAGAAAGAAAAACUGAGAAAGACAGACCAGAAACUAAUAAAAUGGUUACCUUGUGGUGGGGGGAGAGGGUGAGUAGGAAAGGUGUGAAGGAAACAGGAAUGGGAGUGAGAUUUCUGAGUUUAUUUAGUUUUGACUUUUGAAUUAUAUAAAUAUUUCACACAUCAAAAAUUGUAAUUAAAUGAAAAUAAAAAUCUCUAAAAUUGAGAACAAACUUAAACAAAUGAUCCUAUGUGUAUAUCAAAAUAGUUACUUAAACGUGGAGGAAAACACAAUUUCAAGUGACUUUUGAGCUCAAUAUCAAAUGGCAUAUAUGCUAAGGACAAAAAGAACUAAAAGAAAUCUUAAACUUCAUUCGUUUUAUUGCUAGUUGUAAUAUUGGUAUUUUUAUUUUGAUAUCAUUUGGUACCUGUUGUUGGUUAAAGCCAGUAAGUUUUUAUGCUUAUAUGUUAGAAACCAAUAGAAAUACAAGUAUAAAAUCAAAGAAGCUAAGCAAAAAGAAUAUUUAUAAUGAUGAACUUGAAUUACAGAUGUCAGUUUGAAUUCAGGAUUUAAUAUAUAUAUUAAUUCCAUCCAAAUAUAUAUAUUUCUUUCUUAGCUCUGUACACUGAAAGGAUCUAGAAACAGUAUGUUACUUUGGUAGAUGUAUUUGUAUUACCCCGAUUUUGGUCUUUCGGUACUUUCAUUUAGAAUCCAGGGCUCCUUGAAGAAAUGACUGAUUGCAGGACUGGGGCAGGGAACAUACCUAGUGAACCUGGAACAUCUUGUGUCAGAAGCAAGAAAGCUUUCACAGACCCAACUAAAGCCUACCUGAAGAGGCUCUUGUUGGCCGAAAUUGGGACAGUUUGAACAUAAAGGAGAAUAAGGAGAGCAAUUUGAAACCAUAUAUAACAACAAUAAAAAAAACAGACAAAUGGAGAUGGCUGUUAACACCUAUCCUUUACUCUGAAAAUUGGUAAUUUAACAUUUGAACUGCUUUUUUAGUAGAAAUGUAUUACAGUUAGUGAGGAAUGCCAGAUAAUAAAUAUAGAAAGAAUUAUAGAAUUAGAAAGUCACAAUUUGUUACAUCCUUUUAUGAAAUAUUUGACUUGGGCCAGGAUCAUUAAUGGAUGCUAAAAUUGUUAGGCAAAAGGUUCAUUGGGAAUUGGAUAUUUGCAUGGUGCCAAAGUACUCCACAGAGUACUAGUUGGUCUCAGAACAAUAAAACUUUACAGUGGAAGGAUCAGGCUAUUACCAGCCUAGUUAUUAAUCCUAGUAUCACUAAAAAUGAACCAAAAAAAAAUACGUGCUUCCUGAUGUGAUUCAGUAUCAAGUAUAGUGCAUCAACUGAAGGUUUUUUGUGCCAAAUUUAAAAUCUGAAUUUAAUCAAACUUUUCAGACUGACUUUCAGUUUAUAAGAGAUAUGGGAGAUGAAAGAAAUUAAGUACUACCUUGGAUGAAGCAAUCAGAAAAAUACAGAAUGUGAGAUACAGAUGAACUGGCCAUUUAAUGUCAUGGGAAAGGAAAACAAGGGUGGGGUGUGGGGGGAAGGGAAAAUGUCCUAGAAUAUAAUUAAUCUAGAGAUAUAACAACCAAAUGCAGCAUGUGCCAGCUGUAAAGUACAUUUUUUUUUAGAAAGGAGUAGGAUGAAGCAAGAUGGCCAACUUUUAAUUUAGAAUGUGGGUGAUGGGAAUAUGGGUGUGUGUGUUUGUGUAUACACACAUAUAUUCAUUUAUAUGCAUACACAUACACUUUUCUAUAUUUGAAAGAUUUUAUAAUAAAAACUUAAUAUUUUUCUGUUGAUGGACACUUAGGGUUCUUCUUUUUUUUUCUAUUACAAAUAAUGUUUCUGUAAACGUUUCUAUAUGUGUUUCCUCUCUUUGUGUAAGUGUGUGUUAAGGAGAUACGGCAGCUUCCUAGUAGUGGAAUUCCUGGAUCAAAGGGUAGGCAUACUUCAGCUCUACUAGAUACUGAUAAAUUGUUCUUCAAGUGGUUGUACUGAGGAGGAUUUUAGAAAAGGGAAUUAUGAGAUAUAUGUCUUCUCUACUAGGUGAUGAAUUCUUUGAGGGUAGGGACCAUGUAGAGAUUCAUACAGAAAUGUUUGAGUUGAAUGAAAGUGUAUUGUAGUGGGAUUGCCUGGCAGUGGGAUGGAGGAAUUAGAGUUAGGUCAGCCAAAAGGCUAUUGUGAUGUUUAAAGUAUGAGGCAAUGAAUGUGUAAGACUAGAGGUAGUGGAGAGGAAGGGAUGAAUAUGAGAAGGUUUGGAGAGAAAGGAUCAAAGUGUAUGUGUUCUUAUUGUUGGGGAGGAUAUUGAUGAUUCACUGUUAUGGCUUAUAACACCCUGUAGUUUGUUGGCUUCAUUUUAUAGUAAGUAAGUAAGUUAUGCUUCCCUAUUAAUUCAAAACCAUCUACUGGCCUAGUUCCAGCAGAGUUCUAGCCUUGUCUUCAUCUUCUGCUUGUAUUGUUUUUAAGCCUCAGUCUCUUCCUGGGAUAAAUCUGUGUGAUUAGAAGAGAAUAGUCGUUGACUGGGGUAAAGGUGCAGUGGGUUGCAAAGAAGAGAAGAAUUUAUGUAGUAGUAUGGGUAGGAUUUAUGGGUAACUUCAUCACCAAGUGAGUUUUUGAAGUCUUCCAAGGACAAAAGAUACCUUCCUAUAGUUUUUAAAGGGAAAGUCUGUCUAGUGUUAUAACAGGGAUAAUUCAUCAGAUGCAGUUUUUCUUAGAGAAUGUCCGGUAUCUCAUUUUCAAAUGUUGCAACUUUUUGUAAAUUCUAAAGUUGGUGCCUUCAAGAAGUUUUUGUUUAUUUUUUAAAGAUUUUAUUUAUUUAUUUGACAGAGAGAGAGCACAAGCAGGGGGAGUGGCAGGCAGAGGGAGAGGGAGAAGCAGGCUUCCUGCCGAGCAGGGAGCCCUAUGUGGGGCUUGAUCCCAGGAUGCUGGGACCAUGACCCGAGCUGAAGGCAGAUGCUUAACCGACUGAGCCACCCAGGUGCCCCAAGAAGUUUUGAUUAAUGGUUCUCGAAUAGCUCUGUCCAACAGAAAUAUAAUGUGAGCUGCAUAUUUAAAGUUUUAUAGUAGCCACACUUAAAAAAAUUAAUUUUAAUAACAUUUAAGCCCAUAUAUCCAAAAUACUACCAUUUUAACAUGUAAUUGAUAUCAAAGUUGUUAAUGAGAUACUUUACAUUCUUUUUUGAUACUGGUGUGUUACACUUAAAGCAUGGCUCCAUUUGGACUGGCCACAUUUCAGUGCCUAAUAGCAUAGUGCCUGGUAGCUGGUGGCUACUGUAUUGGACAGCUUAGUUCUAGAACAUACUCAGUUGAAACCUUUGAAUUCAGUUUGGUACUGAUUUGACCCACAGUCACUGAGGGUGGCCAUGAGCUGAUCUUGCUUCAUAGACCUGUUGCUGCUUAUUAGAUAAAUUCUGGCUUCCUGUCCACAUUUUUUAUACUAACGUGCAUGUGCAAAAGUGAUUUUGAGGGUCCCAGACAAAGCCAUUAUCCAGAUUUACUGAUUAUGUUCACAAUUUUCCCUUUUGCCUCAGAAAACAUAGAACUGACCUCAGAUUUUUUUGGAUCAACUCUGUCAAUUUGAGUUGCUGCCAAUAAAAAGAAUAUUCAGGCAAGUUCCAAUCUCAUUCAUUUGUAAGGCCUUUAGUUACAACAAGGCUGCUAGGAAUUCAGCGAGCAUUUUAUUAAUUGUGACAUUUCCUAGAAUUUGUGAGGCUGUCAGCUUAAUUUUCAUUUAAAAAGUCAAAUGUUAGAUGACUGGUGGUUAUCCCAAGUAUUUCUGGAGUUUCUGCUGUGUGUCUAGUGUUUAUUUAUUCAGUCAGUGUUUGUUGAGCCAUUUACCAGGUCCCAUAGUUCAGGCACAGUGACAACAUGUAGCCAAGGAAACAGGCACAUGUAGUGUGGUCUGAUAAGUGCCGAGGUAGAGAGAAACUUAAGAUGCUAGAAGAACACACAGGAAGGACACUUCAUUUAAUUGGUGGGGGAUCAGGGAAGGCUUCUCUGAGGAGAUAAGCUGAACUCUGAAGGGCAGGUAGGAAUAAAUAUGGCAAAAGUGGGCAUGGAGAGCAGAACAUUCUUCCCGGCAGAGGGAAUGUUUUGUAUAGAUGCCCGAAGGUGAGAAAAAGGGCUGAGUAUGGCACAUUGUCUGGAAUAUAGAGUUUAGUGUGAGAGGUGGUGAGUGGUAUAAAUGGGGAGACGGUAACAGAUGCCAAAUGUGAAAGGCCUUGAAUCUAAUGGCAAAGAGUUUGACUUUAUCCGAGGUAACUGACAAGGGGCAUGAUUUCUGUUUAAGAAUGACUAAGAAUUUAGUAGUAGAAUGGAGAAUGGAUUAGAGGAAGGCAAGACAGGCACAGAUACUAGUUUAGAGGUGCUCUAGGAGAGAAAGGAUGGAGGCAUGAACAAAGUUUGUGGCAGAGAAGAAAAGACUGUCAGCAUUUAUUUAUUUAUUUAAAAGAUUUUAUUUAUUUAUUCAUGAGAGACAGAGAGGCAGAGGCAGAGGCAGAAGCAGGAUCCCCGUGGAGCAGGGAGUCCAACACAAGGCUGGAUCCCAGCACUCCAGGAUCAUGACCUGAGCUGAAGGCAGAGCCUUAACGGAUUGAGCCACCCAGGUGCCCCUAUUUAUUUAUUUUUGAGAGACAG
RNA transcript from Mirounga angustirostris (Northern elephant seal), 24154 nucleotides. It is a transcript of the gene named small ribosomal subunit protein uS8-like, with no coding region annotated. NCBI's taxonomy places the organism in Eukaryota, Metazoa, Chordata, Mammalia, Carnivora, Phocidae. The transcript has a single exon. The record is from RefSeq and is a predicted model, not a curated record.